UGAAUUUAAUUUUUAUGCACUAGUUGAGGAUGCAAGUACCCGGAUAUUCUAUGCUCUCUCAAUUUCACAACGCCAAUAAUUUGUGUCACGGGCAAAAGAGCUAUCUUCAAAUUUACCAACAUUACCCGACCCGAAUCGCGCUACCAUCCAUUACAUUUGCACAAGUCACAACGGUCAUCUUUCUUCAUCAAGCUUCAAUUCAAAACCCUAGCAAGUUGUCGCAGGCCAUCUUCUUCUUCCUCAUAAUGGUCAAUCCGAAGCCCUAGCAAUUGGAAAUUGCUUCGCAACCAUACCGCAGUUGUAAAUUGAAAUCGAAACUGUCCUACUUCAACUACACAAUCUAACGAUGGUGAAGAUUUGAGGAAACAUGCAACGAACAUGCCAAUGUCACAGAUUACAGUAGCAAGAACAUGGAGUUGCAACAGCAAGGAGAGGUAUUCCUCUGCGGAUUGUAACACCAGAGCAUUCAGUCAUGUCCAGAUGUU
This is a long non-coding RNA of Cornus florida, 485 nucleotides long. RefSeq lists it as uncharacterized. The record is from RefSeq and is a predicted model, not a curated record. The transcript has 3 exons. Lineage: Eukaryota; Viridiplantae; Streptophyta; Magnoliopsida; Cornales; Cornaceae.